AGUCGAGCGAAGUUUUUCUGGUGCUUGCACUAGAAAAACUUAGCGGCGAACGGGUGAGUAACACGUAAAGAACCUGCCUCAUAGACGGGGACAACUAUUGGAAACGAUAGCUAAUACCGGAUAACAGCAUAAAUCGCAUGAUAUAUGUUUAAAAGUUGGUUUCGGCUAACACUAUGAGAUGGCUUUGCGGUGCAUUAGCUAGUUGGUGGGGUAAAGGCCUACCAAGGCGACGAUGCAUAGCCGACCUGAGAGGGUGAUCGGCCACACUGGGACUGAGACACGGCCCAGACUCCUACGGGAGGCAGCAGUAGGGAAUCUUCCGCAAUGGGCGAAAGCCUGACGGAGCAACGCCGCGUGAGUGAAGAAGGAUUUCGGUUCGUAAAGCUCUGUUGUUAGGGAAGAAUGAUUGUAUAGUAACUAUAUACAGUAGAGACGGUACCUAACCAGAAAGCCACGGCUAACUACGUGCCAGCAGCCGCGGUAAUACGUAGGUGGCAAGCGUUGUCCAGAAUUAUUGGGCGUAAAGCGCGCGCAGGUGGUUUAAUAAGUCUGAUGUGAAAGCCCACGGCUCAACCGUGGAGGGUCAUUGGAAACUGUUAAACUUGAGUGCAGGAGAGAAAAGUGGAAUUCCUAGUGUAGCGGUGACAUGCGUAGAGAUUAGGAGGA
Molecule: ribosomal RNA, 666 nt
Filed under: uncultured Bacilli bacterium
Lineage: Bacteria; Bacillati; Bacillota; Bacilli
Description: bacterial SSU rRNA
Rfam family: Bacterial small subunit ribosomal RNA
Source: RNAcentral